RNAcentral lists this ribosomal RNA (502 nucleotides) under uncultured Paracoccaceae bacterium. RNAcentral describes it as "bacterial SSU rRNA". It matches the Rfam family "Bacterial small subunit ribosomal RNA", at positions 96 to 633 of the family's 1533-position model. Lineage: Bacteria; Pseudomonadati; Pseudomonadota; Alphaproteobacteria; Rhodobacterales; Paracoccaceae. The record is from RNAcentral.
CGGCGGACGGGUUAGUAACGCGUGGGAACGUACCCUUUUCUUCGGAAUAGCUUUGGGAAACUGAAGGUAAUACCGGAUACGCCCUUUUGGGGAAAGAUUUAUCGGAGAAGGAUCGGCCCGCGUCUGAUUAGAUAGUUGGUGGGGUAAUGGCCUACCAAGUCUACGAUCAGUAGCUGGUUUGAGAGGAUGAUCAGCAACACUGGGACUGAGACACGGCCCAGACUCCUACGGGAGGCAGCAGUGGGGAAUCUUAGACAAUGGGCGCAAGCCUGAUCUAGCCAUGCCGCGUGAGUGAUGAAGGCCUUAGGGUCGUAAAGCUCUUUCGCUGGGGAAGAUAAUGACGGUACCCAGUAAAGAAACCCCGGCUAACUCCGUGCCAGCAGCCGCGGUAAUACGGAGGGGGCUAGCGUUAUUCGGAAUUACUGGGCGUAAAGCGCACGUAGGCGGAUUGGAAAGUCAGAGGUGAAAUCCCAGGGCUCAACCUUGGAACUGCCUUUGAAAC